UAUAUGUGUGUGUGUGUUUGUCUGUGACGACUCAACAAGUUAGUCACUUCAGUGACAAUGAAGUCUGGCUGACCAACCUUGGUCAGAGGGAGAAAUGAAGUUUACUGUCAGCAACUGUGAGACAACAUUCCACACCCUACAACCCUCACUAGGCCUAAUUCUGUUCUCUUACAACAUCAUUCUAUCUCUCUCUGUAAUUACUACUAAGCAAUGAAGAGGACACAAACACAAACUUUAC
Long non-coding RNA from Octopus sinensis (East Asian common octopus), 238 nucleotides. RefSeq lists it as uncharacterized. Lineage: Eukaryota; Metazoa; Mollusca; Cephalopoda; Octopoda; Octopodidae. The record is from RefSeq and is a predicted model, not a curated record. The transcript has 3 exons.